This 253-nucleotide ribosomal RNA is filed under the name uncultured bacterium. RNAcentral describes it as "partial 16S ribosomal RNA". It matches the Rfam family "Bacterial small subunit ribosomal RNA", at positions 524 to 776 of the family's 1533-position model. The record is from RNAcentral.
UACGUAGGGGGCUAGCGUUGUCCGGAAUCAUUGGGCGUAAAGCGCGUGUAGGCGGUCCGGUAAGUCCGCUGUGAAAGUCGGGGGCUCAACCCUCGAAUGCCGGUGGAUACUGUCGGGCUAGAGUCCGGAAGAGGAGAGUGGAAUUCCUGGUGUAGCGGUGAAAUGCGCAGAUAUCAGGAAGAACACCUAUGGCGAAGGCAGCUCUCUGGGACGGUACUGACGCUGAGACGCGAAAGCGUGGGGAGCGAACAGG